CAUGACACUAUGAGAUUGUGUCACAUCAUCACUUGAAAAUUAAAAUAUAUAUACAAAUUUUCAAGUGAUGACAUGGUACAAUUUUAGAGUGUCAC
Non-coding RNA from Gossypium hirsutum (cotton), 95 nucleotides. The record is from Rfam. Lineage: Eukaryota; Viridiplantae; Streptophyta; Magnoliopsida; Malvales; Malvaceae.